RNAcentral lists this long non-coding RNA (242 nucleotides) under Nicotiana benthamiana. Its description in RNAcentral is "long non-coding RNA (NBEN_LNC012402)". The record is from RNAcentral. Lineage: Eukaryota; Viridiplantae; Streptophyta; Magnoliopsida; Solanales; Solanaceae.
CAAAACCCAUCAGAGAAAGGCCAGAGACAAACCAGAUCAAGCCUUCGGUGACCAUAUUGUAUUGAGGAGACUUAUGGGGUCUUACCGAUAGAGGGAAUCAACAAGGUAAGGCUUCACGACGACUGGUGGUCGAAAGAGGUGAGGCUGGAGGUGGUUGGAGAGGCGGUGAGUUCAUCGGAAAAUAAGAGAUAAUCAGAAUGUUCUAGAGAGAAGGGAGAGGGAGAGUCAAUAUAGAGAGAGAC